Homo sapiens (human) is the source of this 62-nucleotide small nuclear RNA. NCBI's taxonomy places the organism in Eukaryota, Metazoa, Chordata, Mammalia, Primates, Hominidae. The record is from Ensembl.
GAGUGUUACAGCUCUUUUAGAAUUUUUCUAGCAGGCUUUCCGGUCUUUACCGGAAAGCCUAU